This 253-nucleotide ribosomal RNA is filed under the name uncultured bacterium. RNAcentral's name for it is "partial 16S ribosomal RNA". It matches the Rfam family "Bacterial small subunit ribosomal RNA", at positions 524 to 776 of the family's 1533-position model. The record is from RNAcentral.
UACAGAGGGCUCAAGCGUUGUUCGGAUUCAUUGGGCGUAAAGGGUGCGUAGGUGGCGAGGUUAGUCAGGUGUGAAAUCUCGGGGCUCAACCCCGAAACUGCACUUGAUACUGCCUUGCUAGAGUACUGGAGAGGAGAUUGGAAUUUACGGUGUAGCAGUGAAAUGCGUAGAUAUCGUAAGGAAGACCAGUGGCGAAGGCGAAUCUCUGGACAGUUACUGACACUGAGGCACGAAGGCCAAGGGAGCAAACGGG